This 371-nucleotide ribosomal RNA is filed under the name uncultured bacterium. Its description in RNAcentral is "bacterial SSU rRNA". It matches the Rfam family "Bacterial small subunit ribosomal RNA", at positions 29 to 410 of the family's 1533-position model. The record is from RNAcentral.
AACGAACGCUGGCGGCAUGCCUAACACAUGCAAGUCGAACGGGAUCCUGGUUUCGGCCAGGUGAGAGUGGCGGACGGGUGAGUAACGCGUGGGAACCUGCCCAGUGGUGGGGGAUAACUGCGGGAAACUGCAGCUAAUACCGCAUGAGCCCGCAAAGGGGGAAAGAUUGAUCGCCAUUGGGAGGGGGCCCCGCGUUUCGAUUUAGGUAGUUGGUGAGGUAACGGCUCACCAAGCCUACGANCGAUAGCUGGUCUGAGAGGAUGAUCAGCCACACUGGGACUGAGAUACGGCCCAGACUCCUACGGGAGGCAGCAGUGGGGAAUAUUGGACAAUGGGGGCAACCCUGAUCCAGCAAUGCCGCGUGAGUGAUG